GUUUCUCUUUUUAUUCACCAGUCCAGAGAGCGGUUUCCCUGUUCUCGCUGAACGAUGCAUCUGUUGGAUCAGAGGUUGGACCAGCUUACCCUGUACAUACGCACAAUACCCUGGAGCGACAGUCCUCCCCUCGAGUGCCACAUAUUUUGAGUGACGAGCCAGCAUUGGCACUAACUGGGAAAGUCUACCAGCUCGAGAUCCAAUUGAAGCAACUCCAGGACGAUCUGCUAAAGGAGAAAGAGGAUAAAAUUGUCCUGCAGGCAGAGGUGGCGAACCUGAGAGUUAACAAUCAGCGUCUCCAAGAGGAAUCCCUGUCAGCCACCGAGCAGCUGAGGAAAUUUGCAGAAAUAUUUUCCAGCACCAUAGAGAAAAAGUGAACUCCACCAGCCCUCCCACAGAAUCUCAACCCAGUUUAUUUUUCUCUUUCGUCAUCUACCUUUUGGAGCAACUGUAACCUGGAGUCACAGUCCAUCUCAGUGGUGGUGUCGGGUGGUGGGGUGUGGGCGGAGAAUUCUGGAACUUGCUGAACCACAGCAGCCAUUUUACAAAAAUUGCAGGUGGUGUUAGCUUUUUGACGGACACUGGAGGUAGAGGGAAGAAAUGUGAGCUGUGCGACAUCACCGGGUCAGCAACUAGUGGGCACUGCUAACCCUUGCAGUGCCAGCUCUGCCUGUACCUCCUUUCACAUCAUAGAAUGGAACUGGUCAGCAGAAAUGGCUUUUUAGGCAGUAGUUAAAUCUACAAGCCUAACCCUAACCCUUCCUCCCUACUGCCCCAACUCCUGCUAGCUACCAUUCGUCAAUAAUUAUUAUCCAUUGAUAAAUGUUUGAUCAAGUGUCUUCCUCCAAAACUUGGCAGGUUCAGUAAAGACUGUCAGUGUGAUGUGCUUUAGUAGAAAGCAGCAGCUUUCUUUUUAAAAAGAAACCUUUCAGUCAGAAAUUAUGCUUCAGUAAAUAUAGGUUGCCCUUGUUUAAUUAGCUUUAUUUUUAAAACCUCUUUUUCCUCAAGUGGUUCCCAGCUGCACAAAAGCCAAAGCGUUUACUCCAGGGUAAACCUGUCUGUCCGUGGGAUCGAAAACCAGUAUGUCCCAGUGUAUUCGCACCGCCUUUGUCCCAGCUUCGUGCGCACAACACUCUGGCUCUCUCGUAUUUUGUGUUCUUUUAAGGUUGCAGAUAGACAUGAGGGGCAAGGCAUCAUCCCCUACACAUAUUAGGACAUCGGGAUGAGAAGGUUCCAAGUUUAACCUUUUAGUCUCUAGCGGCUGGAUUCGGGCCGCAGAGUGGAGAGGUGCAGCUGCUUCCUGAAUCCGUGGAGGAUUGGGAGGAGACUGGGUCUCUGGUCAUCAUUGAGUAGUGACUGCCCUUAGGUCUUUUCCCACCCACUACUAAAGAAAAUGCUUUUUGUGUGGGGACGUAACUACGAUGCUCUCUGCAGCUGACCAGCUCAUCAUCCUAAAUCUGUGCUUGGAAAAAUAUCAGCAAGGUUGGAUGGAGGGGAGAGAGGAAAUAGCCAUCAACUAUGUAACAGUUCCUCUCAAUGCAAAGCCUUGAGGGAAGAGGUGGGGUGAUCAAAGUGGGACAAGUGGCAAACCACUUAAAACUCAGUGUAGGAGUUUCAUCAUAAACCACUUAGUUGCGAUAGUAAUACCAUGCUCUCUGACCUUUUGAUAAUCUGCAAUACAGUCAAUAGAUUUCAAUGAAGCUAUUUAAUUUUAGUUGAAAGUUUUAAUCAAAAGGCUUUGUUUCCAAUAUAUAAGAGAAAGUAAUAUUGCAAAUGAUAUUUAAAAAGCAGUCACCCAGGUCUAACAUUAAUAUAGGAAGUUAUUAAAGCACUUUCUCUCAGACUAAAUUAUUUUCUAGAAAAUUCCAUUUUAAGAUCGCUCAGGAAGUUUGAUCUAAUAAAUGUAAAUGCUCUUUGUAUACGUUAUAUUUGUAUAAAUUGCUUUAGGUUUGUUUUUUUUUUAAUUCAGAACUUAAUCAAAAUUGGAAUUGCUGAGGUGAAUCAGUGACUACUGAAUAUUCUGGAAUUUUUGUGAUCAUCCCUUUCUCGGGAUUAUACACUGCAGAAAAGACUAUUAUAGAAAAAUCGUGUGGAAUCAUUGAUUAAACAAGAGAACCAGCAGCUGAAUGUUAACCUAGAGCUGCUAAGUUGAUGCAGUCGUCUUGAUGUGGUCAAACUACGAUUUUAUAUUUUGUUGAAAUCUGUUCUUGAAAGGGGAACAGUCACAAAAUGAGCUGGAACCAGCCCACUGGGUUCCUUUCAUCCCUCUUUUGUGAGGAUCUGAGGGGAAAGAAAAAACACAUGCGCUUGUGCUAGUCUGGCUACAGUUUGGCUCAGUACACGAUCCCACACAGCAAGUCAAUGCAGUUGGCUGGAUGGAGUUUUCACCAGGCCAGGUACCACCUCGAUGUUCAGCAGUUGCAAUCAGUGACCAUGUGGGAUUUUAGCAUCUCCGUUCACAGGCACCUAGUUAGACAACUCCUGGCUGUUCAACACUGAAACAGUUGUAUUCACAAGUUCUUGUUGUUAUUUUAGGCCCUAUUGUUUCUUGACCUAUUUCUACACGCAGCCCCUAAUAUUGUCUCAAUCCAGUGACUAUGAAAUGGUACUGAGAAACAGUCAUGCAAGAAUGCUUGACACUCGUUCAUCUGAAAUUGUUUUGCUGGGUGUUUUGCGGGGGGUUAACAGAAUUAAUCAAGUUUAACACUUCCAGUAAAGGACUGUUGAAUACGUGAAGCACCUGUGCAGAAAUAUUCACAGUGCCGUCUCUCAGAACUGCAGGGUGAAUGGAUUUUUCGUUGUUUGAAAUACGCUGUGUGGCUCCAUGGGGAGCAGCACAGAACUGGCAGAGAGCUCCAAUGAUCCAAUCAAACGGAUGGCACAAACCAUCAGAUCCAUGUGUCGAGCGGUCAGGAGAUUGUUACAAGCUCAGACUUGCAGCUAGCGUAUGUUAGGCAAAAGGAAUGAGGAGGAUCCAAGAUCAGAGGAAGUGUGCUACUGCGGUCAAGGGGUCAUUGAGUGUACUAUAAUAGAACCUUAUGGUGUGGCCGGUGUUACCUUUGCUGCAAAGUAAACCAUAGCGUUUGUUAGAAAGAGUGUGUUCACGUGUGUCCAGGAUAAGAGGGUGGAAAAUACUUACUGUAGUUAAACUGCACUACAUAAGUUAAUACUUCAAAUUUAAACCAAAAACAACUGCCCUGUAUUGUGACUGUUCCCUUACAGAUAAUGCAGUCCUCUUUACCACUGCAUGCUGACAGCUUGUGCAUUUGCAAUUUCUUGUAUAAACUGGACUACAAAAUAACUUUUUUUAUAAGACAUUUGCAUAAACAACCUAAAUCUGAAGCUGAACAAGUGGGGAAAAAAAUGUUCCAAGCAUUGCAGCUGCAACCAUCAAUGUCUUAAAAAAAAGUUUACUUGGAAUUUUAUCAUUCUCUGUAAUAUUUGUGUAUAAAGAGUGAAGAAGUCUUAAAUUUUAUUGUUUUUGUGUGGUGCAGAUUUUCCAAUGUACAUUUUGUCUGUGUAGGAUUGUUGAUGUGAUUUUAUUGAUUUUUAUUUUUGGAGGGAGGGCAGUUUUUUGAGUAGUGUGUAAUUUAUCUGUUUAUCAUAUUUUAUAAAGACAUCAAGCUUUCAGAUGAGGUUUGUAUUUAAUUUGUGAUUUUUUUUUGAUUCAGCUACUCCAUCAAUGAAUCCUCUUUCACGUUUUUUCAUUCCUUUCGCAUGUAUCAGGAAAAGCGAAUAAAAGUUUUCAUAAACUUGUAAA
Long non-coding RNA from Rhincodon typus (whale shark), 3760 nucleotides. RefSeq lists it as uncharacterized. Lineage: Eukaryota; Metazoa; Chordata; Chondrichthyes; Orectolobiformes; Rhincodontidae. The record is from RefSeq and is a predicted model, not a curated record. The transcript is spliced from 3 exons.